AUUCCAGCCGUGCACCUCAAGAGAGAAAAGAACCAAGUUUCUUCUUCAAUUUCUUCUUCAAAUCUUCACUAAUUUUUCACCAAAUCACAUCAAACUUUGAACACACAUUGCUAAACACUUGGUGAUUAUCUUAAACUAGAAGAAGGACAUCAUCUCACGAUUUUUCUUAGAGUUUUUUGUGACCAAAAUUUCUGAUUUUAUCAUCUAAAGAGGGUUCGAGACCAAGAGUGCACGUGAAUAGUACUAGAUUGCCUUCUUUUGAAGAUUUUAAAUUGUAUUACAGCAGAUGGCUGUAGUAAAUAUUCUUUUGAGAUGUAUUAAGCUUGAGAGCUGAUUAAUUGUAAGUGUGAGAUAUUUUGGAGUACUUUUAUUAUGUAUUGAAGUUAUUUGAAGUAUUAUUGAGGUAUUCCGAGUUUGUGAAUUGUGGAAUGUAAUGAGUCCUGGCGAGAGUUGGGCAGACGUCCCGCGGAUACCCUUUGGUUCGCUUUAGGGAGAAGUGGGGCGUCACAUAUUUUUCUUGAAUAGAUAUUGUUUUUUCAUGUGUUUUAACUGAUAAGGCUGUUUUGAAAUCUAAA
Molecule: non-coding RNA, 575 nt
Organism: Coffea arabica (coffee)
Lineage: Eukaryota; Viridiplantae; Streptophyta; Magnoliopsida; Gentianales; Rubiaceae
Source: RefSeq, a predicted model, not a curated record